Molecule: ribosomal RNA, 253 nt
Filed under: uncultured bacterium
Lineage: Bacteria
Description: partial 16S ribosomal RNA
Rfam family: Bacterial small subunit ribosomal RNA
Source: RNAcentral
UACGUAGGGUGCAAGCGUUAAUCGGAAUUACUGGGCGUAAAGCGUGCGCAGGCGGUUGUGCAAGACAGAUGUGAAAUCCCCGGGCUCAACCUGGGAACUGCAUUUGUGACUGCACGGCUGGAGUGCGGCAGAGGGGGAUGGAAUUCCGCGUGUAGCAGUGAAAUGCGUAGAUAUGCGGAGGAACACCGAUGGCGAAGGCAAUCCCCUGGGCCUGCACUGACGCUCAUGCACGAAAGCGCGGGGAGCAAACAGG